This 486-nucleotide ribosomal RNA is filed under the name uncultured bacterium. RNAcentral describes it as "partial 16S ribosomal RNA". It matches the Rfam family "Bacterial small subunit ribosomal RNA", at positions 29 to 507 of the family's 1533-position model. The record is from RNAcentral.
AUUGAACGCUGGCGGCAUGCCUUACACAUGCAAGUCGAACGGCAGCACGAGGGGUAACCCCUGGUGGCGAGUGGCGAACGGGUGAGUAAUAUAUCGGAACGUGUCCUGUAGCGGGGGAUAACCUAUCGAAAGAUGGACUAAUACCGCAUACGACCUACGGGUGAAAGCGGAGGACCGCAAGGCUUCGCACUAUAGGAGCGGCCGAUAUCGGAUUAGCUAGUUGGCGGGGUAACGGCCCACCAAGGCGACGAUCCGUAGCUGGUCUGAGAGGACGAUCAGCCACACUGGAACUGAGACACGGUCCAGACUCCUACGGGAGGCAGCAGUGGGGAAUUUUGGACAAUGGGCGCAAGCCUGAUCCAGCCAUGCCGCGUGAGUGAAGAAGGCCUUCGGGUUGUAAAGCUCUUUCGGCGGGGACGAAACGGUUCGUGCUAAUACCACGGACUACUGACGGUACCCGCAGAAGAAGCACCGGCUAACUACGUG